This 428-nucleotide ribosomal RNA is filed under the name Gemmatimonadota bacterium. Its description in RNAcentral is "Gemmatimonadetes bacterium partial 16S ribosomal RNA". It matches the Rfam family "Bacterial small subunit ribosomal RNA", at positions 355 to 776 of the family's 1533-position model. Lineage: Bacteria; Pseudomonadati; Gemmatimonadota. The record is from RNAcentral.
UAGGGAAUCUUCGGCAAUGGACGAAAGUCUGACCGAGCAACGCCGCGUGAGUGAAGAAGGUUUUCGGAUCGUAAAACUCUGUUGUUAGAGAAGAACAAGGAAGUUAGUAACUGAACGUCCCCUGACGGUAUCUAACCAGAAAGCCACGGCUAACUACGUGCCAGCAGCCGCGGAAUACGUAGGUGGCAAGCGUUGUCCGGAUUUAUUGGGCGUAAAGCGAGCGCAGGCGGUUUCUUAAGUCUGAUGUGAAAGCCCCCGGCUCAACCGGUGAGGGUCAUUGGAAACUGGGAGACUUGAGUGCAGAAGAGGAGAGUGUAAUUCCAUGUGUAGCGGUGAAACGCGUAGAUAUAUGGAGGAACACCAGUGGCGAAGUCGGCUCUCUGGUCUGUAACUGACGCUGAGGCUCGAAAGCGUGGGGAGCAAACAGG